Lutra lutra (Eurasian river otter) is the source of this 1686-nucleotide long non-coding RNA. RefSeq lists it as uncharacterized. The transcript has 3 exons. The record is from RefSeq and is a predicted model, not a curated record. NCBI's taxonomy places the organism in Eukaryota, Metazoa, Chordata, Mammalia, Carnivora, Mustelidae.
UGUAUGCACAAAGAAACCCGAGGGGUUAGAGCAGUGAGCUCGACAGAGUCACCCUCUCCAAAGGCUGCCUGAGGGCCCCUGGCAAGAAAUGGCCUCCGCGGAGGGAAUGUCCAGUCCCCUCUCGUCCCUGGUCCUCACGCCAAAGCCUGGGUUGCCCGCCAGAGCACGGAAGAGAGUCAUCUUCCGAAGAUGGAAAAUGAAUGAUUGCAAACCCACUAAAAAGAGAUUUUCCUUGACUUACCUUGACGGAAAUGAGCGUCAUUUCCGUCAUGAAAUGAUGCUCCCUCACCCCCGCGGACUGGAAGCUGUGAUGCUGGAGGGAGAGGCUCUGGGCUCCCGAGGAGAAGAGCCAUCGCUGAUGGAGAGACACACAGAUCCCCAUGCUCUUCUCGGAGGGCAGUCCUCUAAUUUCAGGAAGAAUCGAGAGACAGGGUGUUCUUUCUGACACCCAACACCUCACUGAUCGGGAAAAGGCCCGGGCAGGGAGUCCCAAUGACCAGACCCUGCAUGCUCUUCUGCCCUCAACAACCAUGUCGUGAUGAAUGUGAGACGUCUCUCAGCACCACUCAAGGCAUGGGCCCAGGGGGAAGACAACCAUGGCAGAGUACUUCCGGUGAAUUUUCCUGGACUCAGUAGGUCUCUCAGAGUCUCCUGCUUGUGACGCUGGUAUGCUUUUGUUCUUGAGCACCAUAACUUUUCACUUCUGGGUUUCUUCUGAACUUGCUCCAUCUUAGGUCCUAGUGGGCUGGAUUUUAGCACCUGACUCAGAUUUGUUUUUUCCAUCUGUCACCCCUCCCUCUGCCAUAUCCCAGGAUUCCAGUUUAUGACCUCUCUUCUAGAGAAAGGAUUUUGCAACUCUUGUCUCCUUCUGGGUGUUAGUUCCUUUUAAUAUUUGGCUCUGACCCAGGAACAUAUUGCACAACUGCUUUGGAGAACUAUGGGAUACCCAAGCCAUCGAUCCUGGGACUUAAUUUGCCUCAGUGCCUCAAGGCUUAUGGUGGGAGGGGACACAUGCAAAGAAUUAAAGGAUUUUGUCAAAUAUGCUAGUUUCUUGAGUUAAGUCACUGAAAGAAGGAGUUGAGGGGCAUGACUCUGCAGCUUGCAAGAAAGAAACCUUAUUAUGUUGAAGUACAGAGCCUGUAUACAGACUGACUAUAACCAGGUGCUCAAGAUGACAGGGAGACCAUAUUUUCUGAACAGUGACUGUCUUACCUUCCUGGGCAAAAGAAUUUCAUGGAACACGCUGGUAAGUUGUGUUAACGUAUGUGGGCUCAUUUCUCAGGCAGAAACCAGUGGAUUUUCUUCCAUUAUAAGCUGCAGUGAGUCAGAGACCUUGUAGGACUUUUUACCCCUCUUUUAAGAAACCAGAUAGGCUCUUUUGUAUGCUUGCUUUUUACUGGCAUCCUGGGGCCUGUGCCUGCUUCCCUUUCCUCUGUGAAGCCUCCUUGCCUUCUUUAACGAUGGGCUGAUUCUGAGUAAUCUUUUGGCAUCAGGUGACAUUCACCUCCUUUAGGAAGUUCUCCUGACUUCUUUUCUACUACUAUUGUCCACUUCGAGUCCCCUGCCCUGAGGAUUCCCGUGCUAGCUGUCACUGAGCAUCAUCUCCUUGAAUGUCUGUCUCCUCCCUCAAGCUCGUGAGCUUCUAGAGGGUGAAAAUUGUCUUAGAAUAGUAUUCUUUUCUGCUAC